This is a long non-coding RNA of Pan troglodytes (chimpanzee), 1520 nucleotides long. RefSeq lists it as uncharacterized. Lineage: Eukaryota; Metazoa; Chordata; Mammalia; Primates; Hominidae. The record is from RefSeq and is a predicted model, not a curated record. The transcript is spliced from 3 exons.
UUGGAGGGGCCUCUGAGACACUGAGGGGUGACACUGGCUUGCUGGUUGGAUGAAAAGUAACACUGAGCUGCCCAGGCUGAGACACAGUCUGGGGUCCAAGAGCCCUGGUGGCAAUUGGUGAACAUAGCGCUCUGGGCAAGGCCAGCGACUUCAACUUUCUGGAUGUUCAUUUUUUUACCUGCUAAGUGAGGUAGUUGCUGGUGACGUGCUCAGCCAGUGCCAGGCACAGAGUGAGCUGCAGGUAUUGAAUGCAUCCUCCAUAGUAAUGUCAUACUCUGAAGCAGGUACCAUUGGCAUCCCCAUUAUCCAGAUGAGGAAAUGGGGGUGCAAAGCUUGGAUUUUGGCUCUGCUGCCUCUCACAGUGUAGAUGUGAAAUGUGCAGGGGCCUGGGAGAGCCAGAGCCCUGGAACUGCCCUUCGCUACCCAAGUCACUGUGACUUCCUUCCAGAUCCCUGGGGUCCCUUAGGGUCCUGGUUCAAGGGCUCGCUUGGAAGGAAACCAAGAGGCUGUAAUUGUCUACCUCUGGAAACAGUGAAAAGAUGUAAAAUGAAAAUAUUAUCAUGUCAUCAUUUCUUUUCUAUGGAAAUAGUUACUUUCCUUCCCACCCACCCCACCUUCAACUGCUCUAAAUACGUUUUCUUGGGGUUUCCAAACAUCUCUUUUACUUUUGUCCUCCCAGGUGAGAGAGAAGCUGAUUAUGGCCAGAUCUGGCACAGAAAGCCCCUGUUUGUGCAAUCCUGCAUUCUUCCUUUUUAAAUAAAAUUUAAGACCAUCUGAAACGACUUGCCAGCUUGACCUCCCGGCUCUGGUUCUCACUUGAGUUUCUGAAAUGCGUAUGAGUCCAGCCUGCUAAUGUGCUGAAAUGACUGUGCUCACCUUAGGGAAGUGUUAAUGCCUUGAGCAUUUUCCCACCAGUUGUCUUGCAGCUGGUGAGAAAAAUGCGCGCCAACCUCCCCCACGGACUGUGAGGUCACAGCCUUCCCGUCCUUUUCAGGAGCUGCCAUCUCAGCUCUUGAUUCUAAUGGAUGGCAGCCACACUUGAAGAUGCACCAGAGGAAGACGUAGCUGCUCCCCUCUGUGUUCCCAGAUGGGAUGGUGUCCUUGGGAACUGAUCUCAGACAUGUCGUGGUAGCCAGCCUCCAGGAUAGCCCCCAGCAGUCCCACCCCCGGAAUUCACGCGCUUGUGUAGCCCCUCCUACAUUAUAUCACAUAGGUCUGUGUGACCAAUAGAAUCUGCAGAAGUGAUGCCACAGUACUUCCAAGAUUAGGUCAUGAAAGGUCCUGUUGCUUCCCUCUUGGUUUCUUUCCCUCUCCCUCUCCUCUCUCCUUUCUCUUGGACCCUUUGCUCUGGGGAAACCAGCUGCCACAUCACCAUCAGCCUUAUGACCAUGCCACAUGGUGUUCCACAGACAUCCUACAUGCAUGACAUUGAUUCACUCUUACAUUUGACAGGAUUGCAGGAGCUCCUCAGACAAGAUCUGUGGCAACAGUAACAAUAAAAGCAUCCCAUGCGGACCAAA